UAAGUUAGAAAGGGCACACGGUGGAUGCCUUGACUCUAGGAGUCGAUGAAGGACGGGACUAACGCCGAUAUGCUUCGGGGAGCUGUAAGUAAGCUUUGAUCCGAAGAUUUCCGAAUGGGGAAACCCACCAUACGUAAUGGUAUGGUAUCCUUAUCUGAAUACAUAGGGUAAGGAAGACAGACCCAGGGAACUGAAACAUCUAAGUACCUGGAGGAAGAGAAAGCAAAUGCGAUUUCCUGAGUAGCGGCGAGCGAAACGGAACAUAGCCCAAACCAAGAGGCUUGCCUCUUGGGGUUGUAGGACAUUCUAUACGGAGUUACAAAGGAACGAGGUAGACGAAGCGACCUGGAAAGGUCCGUCGUAGAGGGUAACAACCCCGUAGUCGAAACUUCGUUCUCUCUUGAAUGUAUCCUGAGUACGGCGGAACACGUGAAAUUCCGUCGGAAUCUGGGAGGACCAUCUCCCAAGGCUAAAUACUCCCUAGUGAUCGAUAGUGAACCAGUACCGUGAGGGAAAGGUGAAAAGCACCCCGGAAGGGGAGUGAAAGAGAUCCUGAAACCGUGUGCCUACAAAUAGUCAGAGCCCGUUAACGGGUGAUGGCGUGCCUUUUGUAGAAUGAACCGGCGAGUUACGAUCCCGUGCGAGGUUAAGCUGAAGAGGCGGAGCCGCAGCGAAAGCGAGUCUGAAUAGGGCGUUUAGUACGUGGUCGUAGACCCGAAACCAGGUGAUCUACCCAUGUCCAGGGUGAAGUUCAGGUAACACUGAAUGGAGGCCCGAACCCACGCACGUUGAAAAGUGCGGGGAUGAGGUGUGGGUAGCGGAGAAAUUCCAAUCGAACCUGGAGAUAGCUGGUUCUCCCCGAAAUAGCUUUAGGGCUAGCCUUAAGUGUAAGAGUCUUGGAGGUAGAGCACUGAUUGGACUAGGGGUCCUCAUCGGAUUACCGAAUUCAGUCAAACUCCGAAUGCCAAUGACUUAUCCUUAGGAGUCAGACUGCGAGUGAUAAGAUCCGUAGUCAAAAGGGAAACAGCCCAGACCGCCAGCUAAGGUCCCAAAGUGUGUAUUAAGUGGAAAAGGAUGUGGAGUUGCUUAGACAACUAGGAUGUUGGCUUAGAAGCAGCCACCAUUUAAAGAGUGCGUAAUAGCUCACUAGUCGAGUGACUCUGCGCCGAAAAUGUACCGGGGCUAAAUACACCACCGAAGCUGCGGAUUGAUACCAAUGGUAUCAGUGGUAGGGGAGCGUUCUAAGGACAGUGAAGUCAGACCGGAAGGACUGGUGGAGUGCUUAGAAGUGAGAAUGCCGGUAUGAGUAGCGAAAGACGGGUGAGAAUCCCGUCCACCGAAUGCCUAAGGUUUCCUGAGGAAGGCUCGUCCGCUCAGGGUUAGUCAGGACCUAAGCCGAGGCCGACAGGCGUAGGCGAUGGACAACAGGUUGAUAUUCCUGUACCACCUCUUUAUCGUUUGAGCAAUGGAGGGACGCAGAAGGAUAGAAGAAGCGUGCGAUUGGUUGUGCACGUCCAAGCAGUUAGGCUGAUAAGUAGGCAAAUCCGCUUAUCGUGAAGGCUGAGCUGUGAUGGGGAAGCUCCUUAUGGAGCGAAGUCUUUGAUUCCCCGCUGCCAAGAAAAGCUUCUAGCGAGAUAAAAGGUGCCUGUACCGCAAACCGACACAGGUAGGCGAGGAGAGAAUCCUAAGGUGUGCGAGAGAACUCUGGUUAAGGAACUCGGCAAAAUGACCCCGUAACUUCGGGAGAAGGGGUGCUUUCUUAACGGAAAGCCGCAGUGAAUAGGCCCAAGCGACUGUUUAGCAAAAACACAGCUCUCUGCGAAGCCGUAAGGCGAAGUAUAGGGGGUGACACCUGCCCGGUGCUGGAAGGUUAAGGAGAGGGGUUAGCGUAAGCGAAGCUCUGAACUGAAGCCCCAGUAAACGGCGGCCGUAACUAUAACGGUCCUAAGGUAGCGAAAUUCCUUGUCGGGUAAGUUCCGACCCGCACGAAAGGUGUAACGAUUUGGGCACUGUCUCAACCAGAGACUCGGUGAAAUUAUAGUACCUGUGAAGAUGCAGGUUACCCGCGACAGGACGGAAAGACCCCGUGGAGCUUUACUGUAGCCUGAUAUUGAAUUUUGGUACAGUUUGUACAGGAUAGGCGGGAGCCUUUGAAACCGGAGCGCUAGCUUCGGUGGAGGCGCUGGUGGGAUACCGCCCUGACUGUAUUGAAAUUCUAACCUACGGGUCUUAUCGACCCGGGAGACAGUGUCAGGUGGGCAGUUUGACUGGGGCGGUCGCCUCCUAAAGUGUAACGGAGGCGCCCAAAGGUUCCCUCAGAAUGGUUGGAAAUCAUUCGUAGAGUGCAAAGGCAUAAGGGAGCUUGACUGCGAGACCUACAAGUCGAGCAGGGACGAAAGUCGGGCUUAGUGAUCCGGUGGUUCCGCAUGGAAGGGCCAUCGCUCAACGGAUAAAAGCUACCCCGGGGAUAACAGGCUUAUCUCCCCCAAGAGUCCACAUCGACGGGGAGGUUUGGCACCUCGAUGUCGGCUCAUCGCAUCCUGGGGCUGUAGUCGGUCCCAAGGGUUGGGCUGUUCGCCCAUUAAAGCGGUACGCGAGCUGGGUUCAGAACGUCGUGAGACAGUUCGGUCCCUAUCCGUCGUGGGCGUAGGAAAUUUGAGAGGAGCUGUCCUUAGUACGAGAGGACCGGGAUGGACGCACCGCUGGUGUACCAGUUGUUCUGCCAAGGGCAUAGCUGGGUAGCUAUGUGCGGAAGGGAUAAGUGCUGAAAGCAUCUAAGCAUGAAGCCCCCCUCAAGAUGAGAUUUCCCAUAGCGUAAGCUAGUAAGAUCCCUGAAAGAUGAUCAGGUUGAUAGGUUCGAGGUGGAAGCAUGGUGACAUGUGGAGCUGACGAAUACUAAUAGAUCGAGGACUUAACCA
This 2918-nucleotide ribosomal RNA is filed under the name Bacillus cereus D17. RNAcentral describes it as "bacterial LSU rRNA". It matches the Rfam family "Bacterial large subunit ribosomal RNA". The record is from RNAcentral. Lineage: Bacteria; Bacillati; Bacillota; Bacilli; Caryophanales; Bacillaceae.